CACGUAGGGGGCGAGCGUUGUCCGGAUUUAUUGGGCGUAAAGAGCUCGUAGGCGGUUUCGUUAGUCGGGUGUGAAAACUCCAGGCUCAACCUGGAGACGCCACCCGAUACUGCGAUGACUAGAGUCCGGUAGGGGAGUGUGGAAUUCCUGGUGUAGCGGUGAAAUGCGCAGAUAUCAGGAAGAACACCUAUGGCGAAGGCAGCUCUCUGGGACGGUACUGACGCUGAGACGCGAAAGCGUGGGGAGCGAACAGG
Molecule: ribosomal RNA, 254 nt
Filed under: uncultured bacterium
Lineage: Bacteria
Description: partial 16S ribosomal RNA
Rfam family: Bacterial small subunit ribosomal RNA
Source: RNAcentral